Molecule: ribosomal RNA, 378 nt
Filed under: uncultured eukaryote
Lineage: Eukaryota
Description: partial 18S ribosomal RNA
Rfam family: Eukaryotic small subunit ribosomal RNA
Source: RNAcentral
CAAUAGCGUAUAUUAAAGUUGUUGCAGUUAAAAAGCUCGUAGUUGGAUUUGUGGUUCGUCCCGCCGGCUGGGUCAUUGACUUUUGCUGUGCUGGUCGUCCAUCCUUGGGUGGAAUCUGUGUGGCAUUAGGUUGUCGCGCAGGGGAUGCCCAUCGUUUACUGUGAAAAAAUUAGAGUGUUCAAAGCAGGCUUAUGCCGUUGAAUAUAUUAGCAUGGAAUAAUGAUAUAGGACCUUGGUACUAUUUUGUUGGUUUGCGCACUGAGGUAAUGAUUAAUAGGGACAGUUGGGGGUAUUCGUAUUCCAUUGUAAGAGGUGAAAUUCUUGGAUUUUUGGAAGACGAGCUACUGCGAAAGCAUUUACCAAGGAUGUUUNCAUUAA